RNAcentral lists this long non-coding RNA (460 nucleotides) under Homo sapiens (human). Its description in RNAcentral is "non-protein coding lnc-MCC-2:1". The record is from RNAcentral. Lineage: Eukaryota; Metazoa; Chordata; Mammalia; Primates; Hominidae.
AUGCCUCCUGCGCGCUUCUGGGAAGUUCAGAGGGGUCGGGGCUUAGGUGUAGACCCCGGACACAUAUCCGGGACUUUGGCAUGUUGUGCAGGACCUCGCGGUGACUGAGCUCUUUCCUCUGCAGGGCCGACCCUGAGAAUCCGUACAACACAAGAGUAUGCUCGCGAUUCCUGUCACCAAGUAUCUUGCACUUAUCGCAGCCCCCACCAACUCCAGGCCAAGAGCUGUGCCUCUUUCACUACAAACCCUUGGAGAGGGUAUCCAUUUUGGAGGUGGCUCUCCUCUGUGCUUCCUUAGGCACCUGGUUCCAAACAUGAAGACAAGGACUUUAUCUCAGUAUCUGGCACCUAGCAAAAUCUUAGAAAAUACUGAUUUAAGCUGAACUCUGAUCUGUAUUCCACCCUCUGCACAAAGCAAUCCCCACCUGCUCGUCCUUAUUCAUUCCUCGUCUUGCUUAAUG